Molecule: long non-coding RNA, 611 nt
Filed under: Vigna radiata
Lineage: Eukaryota; Viridiplantae; Streptophyta; Magnoliopsida; Fabales; Fabaceae
Description: long non-coding RNA (VRAD_LNC008914)
Source: RNAcentral
GGGAGUGAUUAUUGGCCCAAUGAACCUCUUUGAGAAUAAAGUGGUGAGGGGUGUAUACUUGUCCACUAAAGCUCCAAAAGGGUGGUGGAAAUCAUAUACUUGCCCAGUGAAGCUCUAAGAGAGUAGUGGGAAGUGUAAACUUGCCUAGUGAAGCUCUAAAAGAGUGAUGGGAAGUGGUGUAAUUGUCGGUGAAACCUUCUAGAGAGUGGUGGGAAAUGUCAUUGUAUAAUGGUGUGGUAAAGUGUAUUAGCCCGAUGAAGCUCUUUAAGAGAGUGGUGGAAGAUAACACUUGACCUUAUGGGUGCAUGCGAGUAAUUCGUCAGUGAUUCAAUAUAUAUAGUGAAUGAUGUCAGACAAAUUGGGUAUGAGUUUUUGAUUGACUAAAUGAGUUUGGGUGUGACUUGAUUACUUUGACGAAAUAGUUGCAAGGUUAUAUGCUGAUGACAUUGAUUGUUGAUAUUGUGGUUGUUAAUGAUUUGUUUUGAGGUGAUGUAUAUGAUUUCAUGUGAAGAUAUGUGUAGGUGUAUGAAGAUAUGUAUUGUUUGAAGUCUUAUUCUAAGUAGAUGUUUAAUACAUAUGUAUGUUUAUAUGACUUGUUUCUGUUAGCCCAC